CCAAUAGCGUAUAUUAAAGUUGUUGCAGUUAAAAAGCUCGUAGUUGAAUUUCGGGAUCAAUACGUCUGUCGUGCCUUUGGUACGUACGGGUGUAAUUGGUUUCUACCUUCUGAGGAUCCUUGAUGUCAUUAAUUUGGUGUCUUGGGGAAUCAGGACUGUUACCUUGAAAAAAUUAGAGUGUUUAAAGCAGGCAUACGCUUGAAUACAUUAGCAUGGAAUAAUGAAAUAGGACGUUCGAUUCUAUUUUGUUGGUUUCUAGGAUCGACGUAAUGAUUAAUAGGGAUAGUUGGGGGCAUUAGUAUUCAAUUGUCAGAGGUGAAAUUCUUGGAUUUAUUGAAGACUAACUACUGCGAAAGCAUUUGCCAAGGAUGUUUUCAUUAAUCAAGAACGAAAGUUAGGGGAUCGAAGACGAUCAGAUACCGUCGUAGUCUUAACCAUAAACUAUGCCGACUAGGGAUCGGAUGAUGUUAAUUUUUUAAUGACUCAUUCGGCGCCUUACG
RNAcentral lists this ribosomal RNA (500 nucleotides) under uncultured Glomeromycotina. RNAcentral describes it as "partial small subunit ribosomal RNA". It matches the Rfam family "Eukaryotic small subunit ribosomal RNA", at positions 591 to 1092 of the family's 1831-position model. Lineage: Eukaryota; Fungi; Glomeromycota. The record is from RNAcentral.